CGCUGGCGGUGCGCCUUAUGCAUGCAAGUCGAGCGAAGCUUUUCAGUAGUUUACUACAGAAAAUGACUGAGCGGCGAACGGGUGAGUAACGCGUGAGCAAUCUACCUUAGUUACUGGGAUAGCCCGAGGAAACUCGGAUUAAUACCGGAUAAUCUUAUUACAUCACAUGAUAUUUUAAGUAAAGGUCAGCCGAACUAAGAUGAGCUCGCGUUCUAUCAGCUUGUUGGUGGGGUAAAAGCCUACCAAGGCUACGACGGAUAGCUGGUCUGAGAGGACGAUCAGCCACACUGGGACUGAGACACGGCCCAGACUCCUACGGGAGGCUGCAGCAGGGAAUAUUGUGCAAUGAGCGAAAGCUUGACACAGCGACACCGCGUGUGGGAUGACGGUUCUAGGAUUGUAAACCACUUUCAGGAGGGAAGAAAAUGACGGUACCUCCACAAGAAGCCCCGGCCAACUACGUGCCAGCAGCCGCGGUAAUACGUAGGGGGCGAGCGUUGUCCGGAUUUAUUGGGCGUAAAGAGCUCGUAGGCGGUUCAACAAGUCGGUCGUGAAAGUUUAGGGCUUAACCCUGAAAUGUCGAUCGAUACUGUUGUGACUAGGAUAUGGUAGAGGUGAAUGGAAUUCCGAGUGUAGCGGUGAAAUGCGUAGAUAUUCGGAGGAACACCAAUUGCGAAGGCAGUUCACUGGACCACUAUCGACGCUGAGGAGCGAAAGCUAGGGGAGCAAACAGGAUUAGAUACCCUGGUAGUCCUAGCUGUAAACGAUGGAUACUAGAUGUAGGAAUUGGAUUGACGAUUUCUGUAUCGUAGCUAACGCGUUAAGUAUCCCGCCUGGGGAGUACGGU
RNAcentral lists this ribosomal RNA (847 nucleotides) under uncultured bacterium. RNAcentral's name for it is "bacterial SSU rRNA". It matches the Rfam family "Bacterial small subunit ribosomal RNA", at positions 34 to 886 of the family's 1533-position model. The record is from RNAcentral.